Grus americana (Whooping crane) is the source of this 404-nucleotide long non-coding RNA. RefSeq lists it as uncharacterized. The transcript has 3 exons. NCBI's taxonomy places the organism in Eukaryota, Metazoa, Chordata, Aves, Gruiformes, Gruidae. The record is from RefSeq and is a predicted model, not a curated record.
CUGGGGAAGCUACCUGGGAGGCAGGAUCACUGCUCAGAAACAGACUGGUCAUCAGGUUUUGGGGAUUUUUUCCUUCCACACAUGGGCUCCAGGAGGAAAGACUGCAGGCAGUUCGCAUGUGAUUGGGUACACUUUACCUUGGUGACCAUCCUGAGCCCAUGCUGCUGUCAACAGCUGUGCUAUAGUGGUUAUGUACAUCCAUUCUUCUUCUAUUGAAACACCCCAACCCCUUUUGCAAGCGGGACUUCAUCUUCUAAAUCAAGAAAUACAAAGCUAUUUAAAUAAAAGAAUCCUUCAUUCUUGGAGCAGAGUUUCUUAGUAAAUGACUGGCAUCCCAGCUUCAAUUGUAUGACGCUGCCCAUGCAGUGUCCAACAUUUUUGUGUGAGGCUGAGCUGUUAGUACC